RNAcentral lists this ribosomal RNA (647 nucleotides) under Claviceps maximensis. RNAcentral's name for it is "eukaryotic LSU rRNA". It matches the Rfam family "Eukaryotic large subunit ribosomal RNA", at positions 1 to 669 of the family's 3401-position model. The record is from RNAcentral. Lineage: Eukaryota; Fungi; Ascomycota; Sordariomycetes; Hypocreales; Clavicipitaceae.
UUGACCUCGAAUCAGGUAGGAAUACCCGCUGAACUUAAGCAUAUCAAUAAGCGGAGGAAAAGAAACCAACAGGGAUUGCCCCAGUAACGGCGAGUGAAGCGGCAACAGCUCAAAUUUGAAAUCUGGCCCCCCGGGGCCCGAGUUGUAAUUUGCAGAGGAUGCUUUUGGCGAGGCGCCUUCCGAGUUCCCUGGAACGGGACGCCAUAGAGGGUGAGAGCCCCGUCUGGUCGGACGCCGAGCCUCUGUAAAGCUCCUUCGACGAGUCGAGUAGUUUGGGAAUGCUGCUCUAAAUGGGAGGUAUAUGUCUUCUAAAGCUAAAUACCGGCCAGAGACCGAUAGCGCACAAGUAGAGUGAUCGAAAGAUGAAAAGCACUUUGAAAAGAGGGUUAAAUAGUACGUGAAAUUGUUGAAAGGGAAGCGCUUGUGACCAGACUUGGGCCCGGCGGAUCACCCAGCGUUCUCGCUGGUGCACUCCGGCGGGCCCAGGCCAGCAUCAGCUCGUCCCGGGGGACAAAGGCGGCGGGAACGUGGCUCCUCCGGGAGUGUUAUAGCCCACCGCGCAAUGCCCUGGGGCGGGCUGAGGACCGCGCAUCUGCAUGGAUGCUGGCGUAAUGGUCAUCAGCGACCCGUCUUGAAACACGGACCAA